UACGGAGGGUGCAAGCGUUGUCCGGAUUUAUUGGGUUUAAAGGGUGCGUAGGCGGCCCGUUAAGUCAGUGGUGAAAGCCUCCAGCUCAACUGGAGAACUGCCAUUGAUACUGACGGGCUUGAGUACAGACGAGGUUGGCGGAAUUGAUUGUGUAGCGGUGAGAUGCAUAGAUACAAUCAAGAACUCCGAUUGCGUAGGCAGCUAACUAGGCUGUAACUGACGCUGAGGCACGAAAGCGUAGGGAGCGAACAGG
Molecule: ribosomal RNA, 253 nt
Filed under: uncultured bacterium
Lineage: Bacteria
Description: partial 16S ribosomal RNA
Rfam family: Bacterial small subunit ribosomal RNA
Source: RNAcentral